Calypte anna (Anna's hummingbird) is the source of this 422-nucleotide long non-coding RNA. RefSeq lists it as uncharacterized. The transcript is spliced from 3 exons. The record is from RefSeq and is a predicted model, not a curated record. Lineage: Eukaryota; Metazoa; Chordata; Aves; Apodiformes; Trochilidae.
GGUUUGAACUCAUUCCAGAAUGCCGGAUUUACUUUGCACGGAGAAACAGUACCUGGCUGGACUGCAUUUUUCUUGCCCUCCUUAGGCACUGGAAGCUUGGAAACAAAAUAUUCUCUUGCUGCCCUCUCAGUCAUGCAGGGUGCCUGCCUCCUGCAGUGGAUAAGGAAGAAAAACUUUGCUACCUGUGAAAAUGAAGACUUCUUAGGUAGAAAUGAAAGCAAUUCUAUUCACCUUAUUGCUCAAGGACUCCAGAAAUGACCAACUUGAUGUCUUCAGUGGGAACUGUUCAUAAACAAAAAGAGAAAGGAUCAUCUGAAUUCUUUGCCAUGAGUUAGGACCUGAAGUCUCCAUGAAAGACCAGCCCAAGACACAAGAAGAGGAUCUCACCUCCUGCCUCUUUCCAGAGACUCCUUCCUGCUCUG